GCAGAAUGGAAAACAUUGAAAGUUAAGAGUUAGUAGUCCAUUUCCUAUGUAGUAAAGUGAGAAAAUUUGCAGAGAAGGCUGAGAGUCAGAAAGUGAGGUCAGUUAUGAGAUUUAUAUAGAGUCUCUCCAGGGUUGGACUUUCCUUCUAUGCAGUAUAUUUGGUAGGCUAGAUUUGCAUCCACCCCUUUUCAACCUGCUGUAUUUAAGUGUUCUCAUUUUGACCUCAUAAUUAAAACAUCCGUGGUAAGGAUGUUUUUGUUUGGGAUUCCAUUAGUUCUUUCCAUUAGUAUAGGAACUAUUGGACUGUAUACUUUGAAAAGCAAUAUAUGCAUAUAAAUGAUAAGACCAAAGGUUAUUAUCUAAGUUAUUAGAUAAGGUUAUUAUCUAAGGUCUGUCUGCCUAGAUUUUUCUUGGUCUCUAGUUUAGCUUUCCUUCCUCCAAGGUAUGGGGCAGGAUCAGUUAGACAAUUUCUUUCUGGCCAGCUCUUACACAGAAAGGAGGAAGCUUAGCUUAAUAUUUUGAAGUUUUUGUGGAUGACUU
RNAcentral lists this long non-coding RNA (540 nucleotides) under Marmota monax (woodchuck). Lineage: Eukaryota; Metazoa; Chordata; Mammalia; Rodentia; Sciuridae. The record is from RNAcentral.